Molecule: ribosomal RNA, 465 nt
Filed under: Vreelandella stevensii
Lineage: Bacteria; Pseudomonadati; Pseudomonadota; Gammaproteobacteria; Oceanospirillales; Halomonadaceae
Description: partial 16S ribosomal RNA
Rfam family: Bacterial small subunit ribosomal RNA
Source: RNAcentral
CCUACGGGGGGCAGCAGUGGGGAAUAUUGGACAAUGGGGGCAACCCUGAUCCAGCCAUGCCGCGUGUGUGAAGAAGGCCCUCGGGUUGUAAAGCACUUUCAGUGAGGAAGAACGCCUGGUGGUUAAUACCCAUCAGGAAAGACAUCACUCACAGAAGAAGCACCGGCUAACUCCGUGCCAGCAGCCGCGGUAAUACGGAGGGUGCGAGCGUUAAUCGGAAUUACUGGGCGUAAAGCGCGCGUAGGUGGCUUGAUAAGCCGGUUGUAAAAGCCCCGGGCUCAACCUGGGAACGGCAUCCGGAACUGUCAAGCUAGAGUGCAGGAGAGGAAGGUAGAAUUCCCGGUGUAGCGGUGAAAUGCGUAGAGAUCGGGAGGAAUACCAGUGGCGAAGGCGGCCUUCUGGACUGACACUGACACUGAGGUGCGAAAGCGUGGGUAGCAAACAGGAUUAGAUACCCGGGUAGUC